CAAUAGCGUAUAUUUAAGUUGUUGCAGUUAAAAAGCUCGUAGUUGGAUUUCGGAUGAGACCUGCCGGUCCGUCUUUGAGAUGUGCACUGGCAGGUUUUAUCUUGUUGUCGGGGACUAGCUCCUGGGCUUCACUGUCCGGGACUAGGAGCCGACGAAGUUACUUUGAGUAAAUUAGAGUGUUCAAAGCAAGCCUACGCUCUGAAUAUAUUAGCAUGGAAUAACAUGAUAGGACUCUGGCUUAUCUUGUUGGUCUGUGAGACCAGAGUAAUGAUUAAGAGGGACAGUCGGGGGCAUUCGUAUUUCAUUGUCAGAGGUGAAAUUCUUGGAUUUAUGAAAGACGAACUUCUGCGAAAGCAUUUGUCAAGGAUGUUUUCAUUAA
RNAcentral lists this ribosomal RNA (379 nucleotides) under uncultured eukaryote. RNAcentral's name for it is "partial 18S ribosomal RNA". It matches the Rfam family "Eukaryotic small subunit ribosomal RNA", at positions 592 to 976 of the family's 1831-position model. The record is from RNAcentral.